CCUACGGGGGACAGCAGUCGAGAAUCAUUCACAAUGGGGGAAACCCUGAUGGUGCGACGCCGCGUGGGGGAAUGAAGGUCUUCGGAUUGUAAACCCCUGUCAUGUGGGAGCAAAUUAAAAAGAUAGUACCACAAGAGGAAGAGACGGCUAACUCUGUGCCAGCAGCCGCGGUAAUACAGAGGUCUCAAGCGUUGUUCGGAAUCACUGGGCGUAAAGCGUGCGUAGGCUGUUUCGUAAGUCGUGUGUGAAAGGCGCGGGCUCAACCCGCGGACGGCACAUGAUACUGCGAGACUAGAGUAAGGGAGGGGGAACCGGAAUUCUCGGUGUAGCAGUGAAAUGCGUAGAUAUCGAGAGGAACACUCGUGGCGAAGGCGGGUUCCUGGACAUUAACUGACGCUGAGGCACGAAGGCCAGGGGAGCGAAAGGGAUUAGAUACCCUAGUAGUC
Molecule: ribosomal RNA, 446 nt
Filed under: uncultured bacterium
Lineage: Bacteria
Description: partial 16S ribosomal RNA
Rfam family: Bacterial small subunit ribosomal RNA
Source: RNAcentral